This 1324-nucleotide ribosomal RNA is filed under the name metagenome. RNAcentral's name for it is "bacterial LSU rRNA". It matches the Rfam family "Bacterial large subunit ribosomal RNA", at positions 1561 to 2925 of the family's 2925-position model. The record is from RNAcentral.
AGUGGAUGGGGAGCAACCUAGUUGUGCGUGUGUAAAGGUAGUGCCAAGAAAAGCGAUGAUCAUGUUGAAAAUCAAUUCCCGGUACCCGAAACCGACACAGGUGGGCAAGUAGAGAAUACUAAGGGGCGCGAGGUAACUCUCUCCAAGGAACUCGGCAAAAUGACCCCGUAACUUAGGGAGAAGGGGUGCCACCGAGAGGUGGUCGCAGUGAAGAGGCCCAGGCGACUGUUUAGCAAAAACAUAGGUCUCUGCAAACUCGAAAGAGGAGGUAUAGGGGCUGACGCCUGCCCAGUGCCGGAAGGUUAAAGAAGUUGGUCAGUUUUAGGAUGAAGCUAGCGACUGAAGCCCCGGUGAACGGCGGCCGUAACUAUAACGGUCCUAAGGUAACGAAAUUCCUUGUCGGGUAAGUUCCGACCCGCACGAAAGGCGUAACGAUCUGGGCGCUGUCUCGGAGAGAGGCUCGGCGAAAUAGGAUUGUCUGUGAAGAUACGGACUACCUGCAUUUGGACAGAAAGACCCUAUGAAGCUUUACUAUAGCUUGGAAUUGUGUUCGGGCUUCCUGUGCGCAGGAUAGGUGGGAGGCGUAGAAGGUAUUCUUGUGGGGAUACUGGAGCCAACGGUGAGAUACCACUCUCAGGAGGCUAGAAUUCUAACUUAGUUAAGGACAGUUUCAGGUGUAGUUUGACUGGGGCGGUCGCCUCCAAAAAGGUAACGGAGGCGUACAAAGGUUCCCUCAGACUGGUUGGAAAUCAGUCGAAGAGUGCAAAGGCAGAAGGGAGCUUGACUGCGAGAAGUACAGUUCGAGCAGGGUGGAAACACGGUCUUAGUGAUCCGACGGUGCUGUGUGGGAGGGCCGUCGCUCAACGGAUAAAAGUUACUCUAAGGAUAACAGGCUGAUCUCCCCCAAGAGUUCACAUCGACGGGGAGGUUUGGCACCUCGAUGUCGGCUCAUCGCAACCUGGGGCGGAAGUACGUCCCAAGGGUUGGGCUGUUCGCCCAUUAAAGCGGUACGUGAGCUGGGUUCAGAACGUCGUGAGACAGUUCGGUCCAUAUCCGAUGUAGGCGUGAGAAUAUUGAGAGGAGCCUUCCUUAGUACGAGAGGACCGGGAAGGACGCACCGCUGGUGUACCUGUUAUGAUGCCAAUUGUAAACGCAGGGUAGCCAAGUGCGGAGAGGAUAACCGCUGAAAGCAUCUAAGUGGGAAGCCCACCUCAAGAUGAGUAUUCUGGUGUAAGGUCACGGGAAGACGACCCGUAAAUAGGCACGAGGUGGAAGUGCAGAGAUGUAUGAAGCCGAAGUGUACUAAUAGACCGUCGGCUUGACC